GAAAAGCACUCUGAAGAGAGAGUCAAAAGACCGUGAAACCGCUCAGAGUAUAAGCCAAUGGAGCUUGGAAGGCUUCCGCAGGUGAUGUCCAUCAUACGUGGUGUUCUUAAGACCUUGAGUGUGGCUCGUCAGGCGUAGCAUUGAGUUUGCCAGGUUUAGCUGUCGUGCGGGGGGUUCGGCUGGGAGGACUUCGGCUUCGGCCGGAGGGCUCUUCUGGUCGUCCCCUUUUGAAUGGACGUUCAGAACCUCUUGUGUCUAAUGCGGUUAUGCCCACCACAGCACGUUGUGAGGUCACCCACAGGCUCAACUGCCGAUCGCGCAUCCAGGACGAUGGCAACGAUGCGUUGUUGUUGAUGAUGGUGGCUCGAGAGAGACCACACACACACGCGUGUCUAGUCCUGGGUCGGGCGGCGACCGAGAUAAACCUGGUACGAUCCUCUAGCGACGAGCUGCUUUCUGGCCAGACCGACGCCCAGGCGCUUCCACUGUGCCGGAAGCGUCAACCCCAGGCGGUGUGAACCCAGCUGCAUUAUGCAAGGUCUCUCAGCCGGGCGUUGGUCUGAGUGGUGUUAAGUCCAGCACCAUCGGUCACGUCUCGAAACACGGGCCAAGGAGUAUAGCAUGUGUGCAAGUCUAAGGGUCUCACAAAACCCGAAGGCGAAGUGAAAGCAAGACUGUGGCGGGGGAGCUACGGCGAACCCGCCGGCCUAGUGUGACGCGUGCGUCGCCUGGCUUUAACAGAGCUGAUCCUGUUUUCUCGGUUAAUUCUUGGUGCAGGCGCAAGCUCCGGGCUCACGUACAACACUGGUCACACGCCUCGCGUGUGUGGCUGUGUUGUGAGCACCGUGGAGCAUGCAUGCUAUGACCCGAAAGAUAGUGAACUAUGCCUGGCGAGGGCGAAGCCCCAGGAAACUGGGGUGGAGGCCCGUAGCCGUUGUGACGUGCAAAUCCAUGGUAUCAGCUGGGCAUAGGGGCGAAAGACCAAUCGAACUAUCUAGUAGCU
This 1003-nucleotide ribosomal RNA is filed under the name Niphargus dancaui. RNAcentral's name for it is "eukaryotic LSU rRNA". It matches the Rfam family "Eukaryotic large subunit ribosomal RNA", at positions 366 to 952 of the family's 3401-position model. Lineage: Eukaryota; Metazoa; Arthropoda; Malacostraca; Amphipoda; Niphargidae. The record is from RNAcentral.